UAAGUGAAUGCUUUGCCACAGUC
RNAcentral lists this microRNA (23 nucleotides) under Caenorhabditis briggsae. RNAcentral's name for it is "cbr-miR-86". Its record names the gene cbr-miR-86. The record is from miRBase by way of RNAcentral. RNAcentral also lists the same sequence under 3 other names. Lineage: Eukaryota; Metazoa; Nematoda; Chromadorea; Rhabditida; Rhabditidae.